AGUGAACGCUGGCGGUAGGCCUAACACAUGCAAGUCGAACGGCAGCACAUUAAUAGCUUGCUCUUACGGGUGGCGAGUGGCGGACGGGUGAGGAAUACAUCGGAAUCUACUUUUUCGUGGGGGAUAACGUAGGGAAACUUACGCUAAUACCGCAUACGACCUACGGGUGAAAGCAGUGGAUCUUCGCACCUUGCGCGAUUGAAUGAGCCGAUGUCGGAUUAGCUAGUUGGCGGGGUAAAGGCCCACCAAGGCGACGAUCCGUAGCUGGUCUGAGAGGAUGAUCGGCGACACUGGAACUGAGACACGGUCCAGACUCCUACGGGAGGCCGCAGUGGGGAAUAUUGGGCAAUGGGAGCAAGCCUGAUCCAGCAAUACCGCGUGGGUGAAGAAAGCGUUGGGGUUGGGAAGCCGUUUUGUUGGGAGAGAAAAGCAGCAGGUUAAUACGAAGCUGUACUGACGGUACCCAAAGAAUAAGCACCGGCUAACUUCGUG
Molecule: ribosomal RNA, 492 nt
Filed under: uncultured bacterium
Lineage: Bacteria
Description: partial 16S ribosomal RNA
Rfam family: Bacterial small subunit ribosomal RNA
Source: RNAcentral